RNAcentral lists this ribosomal RNA (446 nucleotides) under uncultured organism. Its description in RNAcentral is "partial 16S ribosomal RNA". It matches the Rfam family "Bacterial small subunit ribosomal RNA", at positions 334 to 797 of the family's 1533-position model. The record is from RNAcentral.
CACUCCUGCGGGAGGCAGCAGUGGGGAAUAUUGGACAAUGGGCGCAAGCCUGAUCCAGCCAUGCCGCGUGAGUGAUGAAGGCCCUAGGGUUGUAAAGCUCUUUCACCGGAGAAGAUAAUGACGGUAUCCGGAGAAGAAGCCCCGGCUAACUUCGUGCCAGCAGCCGCGGUAAUACGAAGGGGGCUAGCGUUGUUCGGAAUUACUGGGCGUAAAGCGCACGUAGGCGGAUCGAUCAGUCAGGGGUGAAAUCCCAGGGCUCAACCCUGGAACUGCCUUUGAUACUGUCGAUCUGGAGUAUGGAAGAGGUGAGUGGAAUUCCGAGUGUAGAGGUGAAAUUCGUAGAUAUUCGGAGGAACACCAGUGGCGAAGGCGGCUCACUGGUCCAUUACUGACGCUGAGGUGCGAAAGCGUGGGGAGCAAACAGGAUUAGAAACCCUUGUAGUCCC